AAGGCCUUAGCUUAAUUAAAGCGUCUGUUUUGCAUACAGGAGAUGUGGGUUAGUGUCCCGCAGGUCUUA
This 69-nucleotide transfer RNA is filed under the name Nesiarchus nasutus (black gemfish). RNAcentral describes it as "tRNA-Ala". It matches the Rfam family "tRNA". Rfam says of the family: Transfer RNA (tRNA) molecules are approximately 80 nucleotides in length. Their secondary structure includes four short double-helical elements and three loops (D, anti-codon, and T loops). Lineage: Eukaryota; Metazoa; Chordata; Actinopteri; Scombriformes; Gempylidae. The record is from RNAcentral.